UACGAGUGCCCCAAGCGUUAUCCGGAAUCACUGGGCGUAAAGGGUGUGUAGGUGGUUGUGUUAGUCUUUUGUUAAAUUCUUCGGCUUAACCGGGGACCUGCGAAAGAAACGGCACGACUAGAGGAUGUGAGGGGUGAACGGAACUCAUGGAGUAGGGGUGAAAUCCGUUGAUAUCAUGGGGAACACCAAAAGCGAAGGCAGUUCACUGGCACAUUCCUGACACUGAAACACGAAAGCGUAGGUAGCGAAUGGG
RNAcentral lists this ribosomal RNA (253 nucleotides) under uncultured bacterium. RNAcentral's name for it is "partial 16S ribosomal RNA". It matches the Rfam family "Bacterial small subunit ribosomal RNA", at positions 524 to 776 of the family's 1533-position model. The record is from RNAcentral.